UGCCGAGUUUGAUCCUGGCUCAGGAUGAACGCUGGCGGUAUGCCUUACACAUGCAAGUCGUACGAGAGUUUUUAACUCUAGUGGCGGACGGGUGAGUAACACGUAAGAAUUUACCUUUAGGAGGGGGACAACAACUGGAAACGGUUGCUAAUACCCCAUAUGCUUUCGAGUGAAAUGGAUUUCCGCCUAAAGAGAAGCUUGCGGCUGAUUAGCUUGUUGGUGAGGUAAUGGCUCACCAAGGCGACGAUCCCUAGCUGUUCUGAGAGGAUGAUCAGCCACACUGGGACUGAAACACGGCCCAGACUCCUACGGGAGGCAGCAGUGGGGAAUAUUGCACAAUGGGGGAAACCCUGAUGCAGCCAUGCCGCGUGUGUGAAGAAGGCCUUCGGGUUGUAAAGCACUUUCAGUAAGGAGGAAAGGUUAGCAAUUAAUACUUGUUAGCUGUGACGUUACUUACAGAAGAAGGACCGGCUAACUCCGUGCCA
RNAcentral lists this ribosomal RNA (485 nucleotides) under uncultured bacterium. RNAcentral's name for it is "bacterial SSU rRNA". It matches the Rfam family "Bacterial small subunit ribosomal RNA", at positions 1 to 510 of the family's 1533-position model. The record is from RNAcentral.